Molecule: ribosomal RNA, 440 nt
Filed under: uncultured bacterium
Lineage: Bacteria
Description: partial 16S ribosomal RNA
Rfam family: Bacterial small subunit ribosomal RNA
Source: RNAcentral
CCUACGGGAGGCAGCAGUGGGGAAUAUUGCACAAUGGGGGGAACCCUGAUGCAGCGACGCCGCGUGAGUGAAGAAGUAUUUCGGUAUGUAAAGCUCUAUCAGCAGGGAAGAAAAUGACGGUACCUGACUAAGAAGCCCCGGCUAACUACGUGCCAGCAGCCGCGGUAAUACGUAGGGGGCAAGCGUUAUCCGGAUUUACUGGGUGGAAAGGGAGCGCAGACGGCUGUGCAAGUCUGGAGUGAAAGGCGGGGGCCCAACCCCCGGACUGCUCUGGAAACUGUAAAGCUGGAGGGCAGGAGAGGUAAGCGGAAUUCCUAGUGUAGCGGUGAAAUGCGUAGAUAUUAGGAGGAACACCAGUGGCGAAGGCGGCUUACUGGACUGCAACUGACGUUGAGGCUCGAAAGCGUGGGGAGCAAACAGGAUUAGAUACCCCGGUAGUC